Molecule: ribosomal RNA, 237 nt
Filed under: uncultured bacterium
Lineage: Bacteria
Description: partial 16S ribosomal RNA
Rfam family: Bacterial small subunit ribosomal RNA
Source: RNAcentral
AUUGAACGCUGGCGGCAUGCCUUACACAUGCAAGUCGAACGGCAGCACGGGAGUUCAGGCAACUGAGCCCUCGGUGGCGAGUGGCGAACGGGUGAGUAAUGCAUCGGAACGUGCCCAGUAGUGGGGGAUAACGUAGUCGAAAGAUUAGCUAAUACCGCAUACGACCUAUGGGUGAAAGCGGGGAUUUUCGGGCAACCGAGAACCUCGCGCUAUCGGAGCGGCCGAUGUCGUAUUAGC